Molecule: transfer RNA, 67 nt
Filed under: Aspidoscelis marmoratus (Marbled whiptail)
Lineage: Eukaryota; Metazoa; Chordata; Lepidosauria; Squamata; Teiidae
Also listed under: 4 other names
Description: tRNA-Thr
Source: RNAcentral
CAAUAGUAUAUUAUUCUUCUAACACGCCGGCCUUGUAAACCGGAAAAGGGACCCCGCCCUUGCAACU